UUUCGUUCGUGAAGCAUGGAACAGUUUGCUGUGCGUUUUGAUGGUUUGAUGGAGGGUUUGGUUAUCGUACUGCAGCCAUCACCUUGGCUCGAUAUACACGGCAGGUUGUGUAUGGGUGCGUAAGAUCGAUCGAGAACUAAUCGGUGUUAUGUUUCAUCUAGUUUGAUCGGUUUAGAUGUUUUUUUUGUGUGUUGUUUUCCGUGGCCUAAAGUGUUGAAAAGGUUUCGUCUAGACUGGACCCGGCCGUACUUGAACUUGAAGUAGCACCUGCAAUUGAACGCAUAGCCACCGUUUUCCGACGCAUGUUUAUCAUGACCGACUAAGCCAAACCAUCAAGAAGAUCUCUACCCAUGGUAACGCUGAUAACGGCCCUAUCGCACGUCCCAAUCUACGGAACCGAUUGUGCAUCAGUAUCUCCACGAUACCGAUUUUGUGAUUCAUUUGGAGGACAGUUAAAAAUUUGCGUCACUAACGACGCAAACGCAGCGCAAUGAAACAAGUGACUCAGCUUAAUGACACAGAUUUGUAGCUGGAAUGUCGCCGCGGAGAUGUUCGAUUCGCAGUUUACUCUGCCUACUCUGGGUGUCAUCGGAUGGGGUGUUAAAUAUUGGGCAAAUAGGCGUGAUGGUGACUGGCCAGUCAUCGAUAAGCCUUAGAAAACAUGUUCACUGUAUGAGAGUGUGUUUGUGUGAGGGGAUUCGAAAGCGCCGUUUGGUUGAAUAAUCGAACACACGAACCGAUCGGGAAGCGUGUUCCGCGAGCGUUACGCAACGGCACAGAUAAACGCUUCAACUCCAACACAUCCCGGACUGCGGAUGAUAUCGGGCCGCUUGCAUUCCGGAGCUUCGGUGACAUAUGUAUACAGGCGUGUAGGCUGUACUGUAAUCCUUCGCUUCAAGUCGCAUCCGCGGAAAGUGUAGUGACACUUGACAGUAAAUAAACUACGCUGUCUGUCACAAGAACGUCCCAACCGGUACGGAUCUCCCGGUGUGAUGUUCGGGUGCUUCUGUGCUCUUGCGCCUGGCACGUGGCACGGGCGCGCUAACAAAAAUGCCGCACUGACGCUUACGCCUGGGUGGCGCGACACGUUACAGCGCCCAGAGACGCUACAACCCGCCAAGAUGCUGCAUUUUCAAACGGAAAAUGGAAACUUGCUGGUUACGGUGGUUGCAGUGCUGCACGGAUAAGUUUAUCUUCUUCCAUGUACCGAGCGCGUUACAAGUUCGCGAGCUUUCCUUCGCCAUCACAUUGCAUUUUACAACAACAACAAAAAAAACCGUGGAAAACAAAAACACAACCACUGGUGGGUUUCUCUCAAGACGAUCGCUUUUCACACCGCUACCCUACCCGAAAGUGGCGACGUGCGAGACGAUUUCUGCAACUGCAAGCAUGGCUACGCUCUGAUUGUUGGACUUUGCAAAACUCGUCCAAACGAUAAGUCGUUUCGGGUUUUCCUUUUCUGCUUCAACCACUGCAACGAAUAAAACGAAAUCUUCUCGUCUCUAGUGAGCAUCGAACAACUCAAUCGGCAAUCAGCACAAUCCCCGUAGCCUUUUGAAGAAGUGACAGACGAACGCAUAAAACGAAGCUGAAACAGUAUCCUGUCGGCACGUAUGCGUACAAGGAUGGGGUUUGUUGGUUCGCUAAAGUUUAUCGAAAACUAGUUACCAGCAUCGAUGUCACCGGCGUAGUUAGUGAGUUCUUCUUUUAGUGCUUCGAAGCGCUUGAUUUGCGUGAAGAUAAAAGAAGUACAACAUAAUGCUAGGAACAUCCGAUUUUCCUUUUCUCUUUCGUGUUUUACGGAUUCAACUGACUUAGUUGAAUUCCUUGAGUAGUUUUAACAGUCUUCAAAAAAUCAAAUAAAUUUAUUGUUUAAAGGUCAACACUCUAGAAGACUCCAAUACACACACUCCUGUACAACGCACAUCUACUAAGAUAGCCGUGCAUGGUAAUUAAAACCAACUUUUUCCAACUCCAA
Molecule: long non-coding RNA, 1978 nt
Organism: Anopheles stephensi (Asian malaria mosquito)
Lineage: Eukaryota; Metazoa; Arthropoda; Insecta; Diptera; Culicidae
Exons: 5
Source: RefSeq, a predicted model, not a curated record